GUGGCAGCAGCCGCGGUAAAACCAGCACCUCAAGUGGUCAGGAGGGUUAUUGGGCCUAAAGCAUCCGUAGCCUGCUUUGUUAGUUUUCGGUUAAAUCCAUAUGCUCAACAUAUGGGCUGCCGGAAAUACUGCAUAGCUAGGGAGUGGGAGAGGUAGACGGUACUCCGUAGGAAGGGGUAAAAUCCUUUGAUCUAUGGAUGACCACCUGUGGCGAAGGCGGUCUACCAGAACACGUCCGACGGUGAGGGAUGAAAGCUGGGGGAGCAAACCGGAUUAGAUACCCGGGUAGUCCCAGCUGUAAACUAUGCAAACUCAGUGAUGCAUUGGCUUGUGGCCAGUGCAGUGCCGCAGAGAAGUCGUUAAGUUUGCCGCCUGGGAAGUACGUACGCAAGUAUGAAACUUAAAGGAAUUGGCGGGGGAGCACCACAAGGGGUGAAGCCUGCGGUUCAAUUGGAGUCAACGCCAGAAAUCUUACCCGGAGAGACAGCAGGAUGAAGGUCAAGCUGAAGACUUUACCAGACAAGCUGAGAGGUGGUGCAUGGCCGUCGUCAGCUCGUGCCGUGAGAUGUCCUGUUAAGUCAGGUAACGAGCGAGAUCCCUGCCUCUAGUUGCCACCAUUACUCUCAGGAGUAGUGGGGCGAAUUAGCGGGACCGCUGCAGUUAAUGCGGAGGAAGGAAGGGGCCACGGCAGGUCAGUAUGCCCCGAAACUCUGGGGCCACACGCGGGCUGCAAUGGUAGUUACAAUGGGUCCCGAAUCCGAAAGGAGGAGGUAAUCCUCAAACGCUACCACAGUUAUGACUGAGGGCUGUAACUCGCCCUCACGAAUAUGGAAUCCCUAGUAACUGCGUGUCAUUACCGCGCGGUGAAUACGUCCCUGCUCCUUGCACACACCGCCCGUC
This 900-nucleotide ribosomal RNA is filed under the name uncultured archaeon. Its description in RNAcentral is "bacterial SSU rRNA". It matches the Rfam family "Archaeal small subunit ribosomal RNA", at positions 455 to 1354 of the family's 1478-position model. The record is from RNAcentral.